Molecule: ribosomal RNA, 506 nt
Filed under: Pochonia chlamydosporia
Lineage: Eukaryota; Fungi; Ascomycota; Sordariomycetes; Hypocreales; Clavicipitaceae
Description: SSU rRNA
Rfam family: Eukaryotic small subunit ribosomal RNA
Source: RNAcentral
GUAUAAGCAUUAUACAGCGAAACUGCGAAUGGCUCAUUAUAUAAGUUAUCGUUUAUUUGAUAGUACCUUACUACUUGGAUAACCGUGGUAAUUCUAGAGCUAAUACAUGCUAAAAAUCCCGACUUCGGAAGGGAUGUAUUUAUUAGAUUAAAAACCAAUGCCCUCUGGGCUCCUUGGUGAUUCAUGAUAACUUCUCGAAUCGCAUGGCCUUGCGCCGGCGAUGGUUCAUUCAAAUUUCUUCCCUAUCAACUUUCGAUGUUUGGGUAGUGGCCAAACAUGGUUGCAACGGGUAACGGAGGGUUAGGGCUCGACCCCGGAGAAGGAGCCUGAGAAACGGCUACUACAUCCAAGGAAGGCAGCAGGCGCGCAAAUUACCCAAUCCCGAUUCGGGGAGGUAGUGACAAUAAAUACUGAUACAGGGCUCUUUUGGGUCUUGUAAUUGGAAUGAGUACAAUUUAAAUCCCUUAACGAGGAACAAUUGGAGGGCAAGUCUGGGCCCACCAGCC